This 253-nucleotide ribosomal RNA is filed under the name uncultured bacterium. RNAcentral describes it as "partial 16S ribosomal RNA". It matches the Rfam family "Bacterial small subunit ribosomal RNA", at positions 524 to 776 of the family's 1533-position model. The record is from RNAcentral.
UACGUAGGGUGCGAGCGUUGUCCGGAAUUAUUGGGCGUAAAGAGCUUGUAGGCGGUCUGUCGCGUCUGCUGUGAAAAUCCGGGGCUCAACCCCGGACUUGCAGUGGGUACGGGCAGACUAGAGUGUGGUAGGGGAGACUGGAAUUCCUGGUGUAGCGGUGGAAUGCGCAGAUAUCAGGAGGAACACCGAUGGCGAAGGCAGGUCUCUGGGCCGCAACUGACGCUGAGGAGCGAAAGCAUGGGGAGCGAACAGG